This 1034-nucleotide ribosomal RNA is filed under the name uncultured archaeon. RNAcentral's name for it is "bacterial SSU rRNA". It matches the Rfam family "Archaeal small subunit ribosomal RNA". The record is from RNAcentral.
CUGGUCAGAAAAUAAGUUGGUUGGGUUAAAACCUGUGUCCAGUCCGUCCAGGAAAGACCGAGUUCACGAGUCUUUUCCGGUUAAGCGGUUAAUACAGUGUUAGUCACGAGAUGUGUGUUCCGCUGAAUAUUUGAGCCUAAAGUCGUCCCGUAGCCGGUCUUAGCAACUUUCCUGUUGAAAUCUUUCGGCUCAACCGUAGAGGUCUUGUCAGGAAAAACUACUAGGUCUAGGGUAGUGGGGGAGGUCAGAGGUACGUUAGGGGGAGCGGUUAAAUGUCUUUAAUCCUUAACGGACCACCAGUGGCGAAGGUCGUUCUGACCAAAACACGUUCCGACGUGUUGAGGGACGUAAGGUCUAGGUGGAGCAAACCGGAUUAGAUACCCGGGUAGUCCUAGCAGUAAAUAAUGCAAACUUGGUCGUUGCACUCGUCCUCGAGUCAAGUGCAGUGCCGUAGUGUAAGACGUAUUAGUUUGCCGUCUUGGGGAGCACCACAAGCCGUGGAUGCUGCGGUUCAUAUUGGACUCAACGCCGGGAUACUCACCAGGAUAGACGGCAGCAUGAAGCUCAGGCUGAAGACCUUAGCUAACAAGCCGAGAAGUGUUGCAUGGCCAGCGUCAGCUCGUGCCGUGAAGUGUCAGGUUAAGUCCUGCAACGAGCGAGAUCCCUGUGGACAGUUGCAAUCAUCGAAGCAAUUCGGCGAGCACUCUGUUCAGACUGCCCGCGUUAAGUGGGAGGAAGGAAGGGGCGACGCUAGGUCAGUAUGACCCGAAUUUCCUGGGCCACACGUGGCAUACAAUGGUGGAGACAAUGAGUUCCGACGCCGAAAGGCGAAGGCAAUCCCAAAAACUCCGCCUCAGUUCGGAUUGGGGGCUGAAACUCGUCCCCAUGAAGCUGGAAUGGCUAGUAAUCGUCGUCGUCAUCAUCGUCGCGGUGAAUAUGUUCCAUGUCUCCUUGUCACACACCGUCCCGUCAAGCCAUCCAAGUCGAGGUCUUUAAUGAGGUUCUCGUACUUUGUCUCGUAGUCGUGUCUAGAU